This 512-nucleotide ribosomal RNA is filed under the name uncultured bacterium. RNAcentral's name for it is "bacterial SSU rRNA". It matches the Rfam family "Bacterial small subunit ribosomal RNA", at positions 28 to 526 of the family's 1533-position model. The record is from RNAcentral.
GAUGAACGCUAGCGACAGGCUUAACACAUGCAAGUCGAGGGGCAGCGGGGAUAAUAGCAAUAUUAUCUGCCGGCGACCGGCGCACGGGUGAGUAACGCGUAUGCAACCUACCUAUCAGAGGGGGAUAGCCCAUUGAAAGAUGGAUUAAUACCGCAUAAAACAGGGGUCCCGCAUGGGAAUAUUUGUUAAAGAUUAAUUGCUGAUAGAUGGGCAUGCGUUCCAUUAGUUAGUUGGUAUGGGUAACGGCCUACCAAGACAUCGAUGGAUAGGGGUUCUGAGAGGAAGGUCCCCCACACUGGUACUGAGACACGGACCAGACUCCUACGGGAGGCAGCAGUGAGGAAUAUUGGUCAAUGGGCGAGAGCCUGAACCAGCCAAGUCGCGUGAAGGAUGACUGUCCUAUGGAUUGUAAACUUCUUUUAUGUGGGAAUAAAAAAAGGUAUGUAUACCUUAUUGCAUGUACCACAAUGAAUAAGCAUCGGCUAACUCCGUGCCAGCCGCCGCCGUAAUAC